UACAGGGGGGGCAAGCGUUGUUCGGAAUUACUGGGCGUAAAGGGCUCGUAGGCGGCCAACUAAGUCCGACGUGAAAUCCCCAAGCUUAACUUGGGAACUGCGUCGGAUACUGGAUGGCUUGAAUUCGGGAGAGGGAUGCAGAAUUCCAGGUGUAGCGGUGAAAUGCGUAGAUAUCUGGAGGAACACCGGUGGCGAAGGCGGCAUCCUGGACCAACACUGACGCUGAGGAGCGAAAGCCAGGGGAGCAAACGGG
RNAcentral lists this ribosomal RNA (253 nucleotides) under uncultured bacterium. Its description in RNAcentral is "partial 16S ribosomal RNA". It matches the Rfam family "Bacterial small subunit ribosomal RNA", at positions 524 to 776 of the family's 1533-position model. The record is from RNAcentral.